Molecule: ribosomal RNA, 253 nt
Filed under: uncultured bacterium
Lineage: Bacteria
Description: partial 16S ribosomal RNA
Rfam family: Bacterial small subunit ribosomal RNA
Source: RNAcentral
UACGUAGGGUGCAAGCGUUAAUCGGAAUUACUGGGCGUAAAGCGUGCGCAGGCGGUUAUGUAAGACAGGUGUGAAAUCCCCGGGCUCAACCUGGGAACUGCAUUUGUGACUGUAGAGCUGGAGUACGGUAGAGGGGGAUGGAAUUCCGCGUGUAGCAGUGAAAUGCGUAGAUAUGCGGAGGAACACCGAUGGCGAAGGCAAUCCCCUGGACCUGUACUGACGCUCAUGCACGAAAGCGUGGGGAGCAAACAGG